This 999-nucleotide ribosomal RNA is filed under the name Bacillus sp. (in: firmicutes). RNAcentral's name for it is "bacterial SSU rRNA". It matches the Rfam family "Bacterial small subunit ribosomal RNA", at positions 35 to 1026 of the family's 1533-position model. The record is from RNAcentral. Lineage: Bacteria; Bacillati; Bacillota; Bacilli; Caryophanales; Bacillaceae.
CGGGGCGGGCUUGCCUAAUACAUGCAAGUCGAGCGAACUAAUGGGAGCUUGCUCCCUGAAAUUAGCGGCGGACGGGUGAGUAACACGUGGGCAACCUGCCUGUAAGACUGGGAUAACUUCGGGAAACCGGAGCUAAUACCGGAUGACUUCUUUUCUCUCCUGAUCCAUUAUGGAAAGAUGGUUUCGGCUGUCACUUAUAGAUGGGCCCGCGGCGCAUUAGCUAGUUGGUGAGGUAACGGCUCACCAAGGCGACGAUGCGUAGCCGACCUGAGAGGGUGAUCGGCCACACUGGGACUGAGACACGGCCCAGACUCCUACGGGAGGCAGCAGUAGGGAAUCUUCCGCAAUGGACGAAAGUCUGACGGAGCAACGCCGCGUGAACGAUGAAGGCCUUCGGGUCGUAAAGCUCUGUUGUUAGGGAAGAAUAAGUGCCAGAUGAACUGCUGGUACCCUUAACGGUCCUUACCCAAAAGCCCCCGGUUAAUUCCUGGCCACCACCCCCGGAAUAACUAAGUGGGCAGCGUUUGCCCGAAAUUUUGGGGCGUAAACGCGGGGCAGUGGGUUCCUUAAUCUGAAGGGGAAACCCCCCGGUUCACCCUGGAAGGGCCAUUGAAACUGGGGAACUUUGAUGGCAAAAAAGAAAGUGGAAUUUCCAGUGGUACGGGGAAAUGGCGAAAAAAUUUGAAGGAACACCAUGGGCAAAGGCAAUUUCUCGGGCUGGUCUCUGACUGUGAGGCGAAAAGCUGGGGAGAGCAAACGGAAUAAAAUCCCUGGGAAUCCCACGCUGAUACCAAUAGAGGCUAUGUGUUAGAGGUUCUCCGCCUUUAAGCCGUGACUAACGCAUUUAACACUCUCCCCCGGGGAGAACAGGGCCGCAAGACUGAACUCCAGAGAAUUGAAGGGAGCCCCGACAACUGGUGAACAGUGGUUAAAUUCAGCACACCAAGAACCUUCACAGCUUGCAUCCUUGACAACCUAAGAUAAGCGUUCCCUCCGGGA